AUUGAACGCUGGCGGCAGGCCUAACACAUGCAAGUCGAGCGGAUGAAGGGAGCUUGCUCCUGGAUUCAGCGGCGGACGGGUGAGUAAUGCCUAGGAAUCUGCCUGGUAGUGGGGGAUAACGUCCGGAAACGGGCGCUAAUACCGCAUACGUCCUGAGGGAGAAAGUGGGGGAUCUUCGGACCUCACGCUAUCAGAUGAGCCUAGGUCGGAUUAGCUAGUUGGUGGGGUAAAGGCCUACCAAGGCGACGAUCCGUAACUGGUCUGAGAGGAUGAUCAGUCACACUGGAACUGAGACACGGUCCAGACUCCUACGGGACGCAGCAGUGGGGAAUAUUGGACAAUUGGCGAAAGCCUGAUCCAACCAUGCCGCGUGUGUGAAGAAGGUCUUCGGAUUGUAAAUCACUUUAAGUUAGGAGUAAGGGCAGUAAGUUAAUACCUUGCUGUUUUGACGUUACCAACAGAAUAAGCACCGGCUAACUUCGUG
RNAcentral lists this ribosomal RNA (484 nucleotides) under uncultured bacterium. RNAcentral's name for it is "partial 16S ribosomal RNA". It matches the Rfam family "Bacterial small subunit ribosomal RNA", at positions 30 to 507 of the family's 1533-position model. The record is from RNAcentral.